AUUGAACGCUGGCGGCAGGCCUAACACAUGCAAGUCGAGCGGAUGAUUGGAGCUUGCUCCUGGAUUCAGCGGCGGACGGGUGAGUAAUGCCUAGGAAUCUGCCCGGUAGUGGGGGAUAACGUCCGGAAACGGGCGCUAAUACCGCAUACGUCCUGAGGGAGAAAGUGGGUGAUCCUCGGACUUCACGCUAUCAGAUGAGCCUAGGUCGGAUUAGCUAGUUGGUGGGGUAAAGGCCUACCAAGGCGACGAUCCGUAACUGGCCUGAGAGGAUGAUCAGUCACACUGGAACUGAGACACGGUCCAGACUCCUACGGGAGGCAGCAGUGGGGAAUAUUGGACAAUGGGCGAAAGCCUGAUCCAGCAAUGCCGCGUGUGUGAAGAAGGUCUUCGGAUUGUAAAGCUCUUUAAGUUGGGAGGAAGGACAGUAAUUUAAUACCUUGCUGUUUUGACGGUACCAACAGAAUAAGCACCGGCUAACUACGUG
Molecule: ribosomal RNA, 484 nt
Filed under: uncultured bacterium
Lineage: Bacteria
Description: partial 16S ribosomal RNA
Rfam family: Bacterial small subunit ribosomal RNA
Source: RNAcentral